This 465-nucleotide ribosomal RNA is filed under the name uncultured bacterium. RNAcentral describes it as "partial 16S ribosomal RNA". It matches the Rfam family "Bacterial small subunit ribosomal RNA", at positions 28 to 507 of the family's 1533-position model. The record is from RNAcentral.
GACGAACGCUGGCGGCGUGCUUAACACAUGCAAGUCGAACGGAAAGGCCCCUUUGGGGGUACUCGAGUGGCGAACGGGUGCGUAACACGUGAGUAACCUGCCCUUGACUUCGGGAUAACUUCAGGAAACUGGGGCUAAUACCGGAUAGGAAUCCUUGCUGCAUGGUGGGGGUUGGAAAGCUUCGGCGGUUUUGGAUGGACUCGCGGCGUAUCAGCUUGUUGGUGGGGUAGUGGCUUACCAAGGCUUUGACGGGUAGCCGGCCUGAGAGGGCGACCGGCCACAUUGGGACUGAGAGACGGCCCAGACUCCUACGGGAGGCAGCAGUGGGGAAUAUUGCACAAUGGGCGGAAGCCUGAUGCAGCAACGCCGCGUGCGGGAUGACGGCCUUCGGGUUGUAAACCGCUUUCAGCAGGGGCGAAGCUUGUGGUGACGGUACCUGCAGAAGAAGCACCGGCUAACUACGUG